This 348-nucleotide unclassified non-coding RNA is filed under the name soil metagenome. RNAcentral's name for it is "partial contains 5.8S ribosomal RNA, internal transcribed spacer 2, and large subunit ribosomal RNA". The stretch from base 1 to 120 matches the Rfam family "5.8S ribosomal RNA", at positions 35 to 154 of the family's 154-position model. The record is from RNAcentral.
GAUGAAGAACGUAGCGAAAUGCGAUAAUUAAUGUGAAUUGCAGAAUUCAGUGAAUCAUCGAGUCUUUGAACGCACAUUGCGCCCCCUGGUAUUCCGGGGGGCAUGCCUGUCCGAGCGUCAUUGCUGCCCUCAAGCCCGGCUUGUGUGUUGGGCCUCGUCCCCCCUCCGCGGGGGACGGGCCCGAAAGGCAGCGGCGGCACCGUGUCCGGUCCUCGAGCGUAUGGGGCUUUGUCACCCGCUCUGUAGGCCCGGCCGGCGCCUUAGCCGACGACACAAUCUUUUUUUUCAGGUUGACCUCGGAUCAGGUAGGGAUACCCGCUGAACUUAAGCAUAUCAAUAAGCGGAGGA